AAACCUUUUGCACAGUUUGACAAUGUACCUGGGGUCCACCAGGAGCUUUCCGCAAUUUCCUUUGGAGGCGGAAGCUCCUUGAAGUAACUCCAUUGAGCUAAGCUCUGUCAUGUACUGCACAUCAUUUGAAAAAAGAGCAUCAACUGAGCGUUCUCCGCCAAUGAACAACUGCAAUGCCAUGCUUAGUUCAGUGGAGAGCUGUCCAGCAGCAGAAGAGGC
This is a non-coding RNA of Pelobates cultripes (western spadefoot toad), 219 nucleotides long. The record is from the annotation of a GenBank genome assembly. Lineage: Eukaryota; Metazoa; Chordata; Amphibia; Anura; Pelobatidae.